ACCCUCCAAGGCUAAAUACUACCUAGUGACCGAUAGCGUAUAGUACCGUGAGGGAAAGGUGAAAAGAACCCCGGGAGGGGAGUGAAAUAGAACCUGAAACCCUGCACUUACAAGCUGUGGAAGCACAUUUCUUGUGUGACAGCGUACUUUUUGUAGAACGGGCCAACGAGUUACGUUAAGUAGCAAGGUUAAGCACUUAAGGUGUGGAGCCGUAGCGAAAGCGAGUUUUAACUGAGCGUUCAGUUACUUGACGUAGACCCGAAACCGGGCGACCUACCCAUGAGCAGGAUGAAGCGAAAGUAAAAUUUCGUGGAGGUCCGAACCCACGAGCGUUGAAAAGCUCGGGGAUGACUUGUGGGUAGCGGUGAAAUUCCAAUCGAGCCCGGAGAUAGCUGGUUCUCCCCGAAAUAGCUUUAGGGCUAGCCUCAAGGUGAGAGAUACGGAGGUAGAGCACUGAAUGUCCUAGGGGGUAUUGCACCUACCGAAG
RNAcentral lists this ribosomal RNA (487 nucleotides) under Clostridioides difficile. RNAcentral's name for it is "bacterial LSU rRNA". It matches the Rfam family "Bacterial large subunit ribosomal RNA", at positions 455 to 944 of the family's 2925-position model. The record is from RNAcentral. Lineage: Bacteria; Bacillati; Bacillota; Clostridia; Peptostreptococcales; Peptostreptococcaceae.